RNAcentral lists this non-coding RNA (944 nucleotides) under Hyporhamphus quoyi. Its description in RNAcentral is "12S ribosomal RNA". It matches the Rfam family "Bacterial small subunit ribosomal RNA". The record is from RNAcentral. Lineage: Eukaryota; Metazoa; Chordata; Actinopteri; Beloniformes; Hemiramphidae.
CAAAGGUUUGGUCCUGUCUUUUCUGUCAGCUCUAGCUAAACUUACACAUGCAAGUAUCCGCACCCCCGUGAGAAUGCCCUACAGUUCCCUGUUUGGGAACAAGGAGCUGGUAUCAGGCUCAGUUUUCUAGCCCACGACACCUUGCUCAGCCACACCCCCAAGGGAUUUCAGCAGUGAUAAACAUUAAGCUAUAAGUGAAAACUUGACUUAGUUAAAGCUAAGAAGGCCGGUAAAACUCGUGCCAGCCACCGCGGUUAUACGAGAGGCCUAAGUUGAUAGACACCGGCGUAAAGAGUGGUUAAGGAACCCAAAAAACUAAAGCCGAACAUCCUCAAGACUGUCAUACGUUUCCGAAGAUAAGAAGCCCCCCUACGAAAGUGACUUUAAUUUUCCUGACCCCACGAAAGCUGUGGUACAAACUGGGAUUAGAUACCCCACUAUGCACAGCCAUAACUUAGAUAAAACCCUACAUCUCUUAUCCGCCAGGGUACUACGAGCACCAGCUUAAAACCCAAAGGACUUGGCGGUGCUUCAAACCCACCUAGAGGAGCCUGUUCUAGAACCGAUAAUCCCCGUUAAACCUCACCCUCUCUUGUUUUUCCCGCCUAUAUACCGCCGUCGUCAGCUUACCCUGUGAAGGCCUCAUAGUAAGCAUAGUCAGUACAACUCAAAACGCCAGGUCGAGGUGUAGCACAUGAGAGGGGAAGAAAUUGGCUACAUUCCCUAAAUCUGGGCAUACGGACAGCAUAAUGAAAAUAUAUGCUAGAAGGAGGAUUUAGCAGUAAGCAGGAAAUAGAGUGUCCUGCUGAAACUGGCCCUGAAGCGCGUACACACCGCCCGUCACUCUCCCCAAAUAAACCUCAUUAAAUAAAUAAAAAGUCUAACUAAACAAGGGGAGGUAAGUCGUAACAUGGUAAGUGUACCGGAAGGUGCACUUGGUUAAU